CUCCAUCUCCUCGGCGUACUCGGCGACGACACCACCCUUGAUGUAGCGCUCGAGAGUCUCGGUGUCGAGGGACUUGUCCUGGAGAUCGUAGCCGGCGUAGCGCUUGUCGUUGUGGGGGAUGUCGAGGCCACCAUCCACAGCACCCUUGAGCGCGGCGAACACGCGGGAUCCGGUGGAGGUGCGCACGAGGCCGGUGUCGAGGAAGCACUUGAAAGGACGGCGGUCGCCCUCAGCCUCGACGUUGUAAUCCUCGCCGAGGUUCUCGGUGUUACCCUCGUAGGUCUCCGCGAGGUCGUACUUGGUCAGAAGACGACGCGCGCAGAGGAGUCCGGUGGCG
RNAcentral lists this long non-coding RNA (337 nucleotides) under Micromonas commoda. Its description in RNAcentral is "long non-coding RNA (MCOM_LNC000235)". The record is from RNAcentral. Lineage: Eukaryota; Viridiplantae; Chlorophyta; Mamiellophyceae; Mamiellales; Mamiellaceae.